GACCAGGCCCCACGCGACGGAGCCCUGCCAACCCCGUCAGGACCGGAAGGUAGCAGCGGUACGCAGUUUCGCUUCGGGCGCCGUGGAUCGCCUGGUCGAC
RNAcentral lists this signal recognition particle RNA (100 nucleotides) under Candidatus Eiseniibacteriota bacterium. RNAcentral's name for it is "signal recognition particle sRNA small type". It matches the Rfam family "Bacterial small signal recognition particle RNA". Rfam says of the family: The signal recognition particle (SRP) is a universally conserved ribonucleoprotein involved in the co-translational targeting of proteins to membranes. Archaeal SRP consists of a 7S RNA and homologues of the eukaryotic SRP19 and SRP54 proteins. Lineage: Bacteria; Candidatus Eiseniibacteriota. The record is from RNAcentral.